AUGUCUCAAACAAACUAAAUCAUUUGUAGAUUUAUUAUAACAAAAAUACAACAAACAUUAGAACAAUAUCAAAAUAGUAAUUAUAUUCUAUAAAUCAAUUACAUAACAAUUAUUUUUUAUAUUUUUGUCUUGAAAUAUUCCACACGCAACCGAAGUUAUAACUACGAAAUUUAUUACCACAAACAACCGAGCCGGUACCACGAAUACCAAAAUCUGAGCCGGUACCAGAGGGAAUGUCAAAGAAGCCAAACUUAACCAGUAGGAAGCAAAGCAAAGGCUGGUGAUACAGAAUAAGAAAAGCCUGGGAUCCCUCAAACAAUGGCGCAGCCAAGUAAUUCCAUCCCCCUUAUGGUAGCGGUUUGUUUCCGUAAUUGUCUUGUAGAGGUAGGAAUCUUGAAUAUUGUCAAAAUCAGAAUCGGAAAUAUUAAGCCGCAGAGAAUUGAAAGAAGACGCUACCUGCAUGCCGUCGUUGGAAAAUCUAGAGAUAAUUCCAUCUGAACAUAGGCACUCUACAUCAGUCGGAUAUCUAAUGAGACUGCUCAUGAAAGAGGCGUAAGCGGUCAAAUCCUUGGGGAAUCCAUUAGAACAACGCUCCAAGGCCACGCAGUUAACAAGGAUGGCAAUAAAGAGAUCACUGACGGUUACAGGUGGGAUUUCAAGCACUCCGUCCUUGAAAUGGAUAUCGGUGAACCUAUCGGUUCUUCUUGGCUUGAACUCUACACCUGACUUUCGGAGUUCCAAUGCAUUUUUUGUGAGAUGAAAAAGUUCGGUUGUCUUUGAAGUUGAUGGGUUCGACUGCGUAGAGAGUGUUGAGAUUGCAGUCAAACAAGGAUAUAGGCUACUGAUAUUAGCCUCUACUUUGUUGAUGAAACAGAGUUUGCAUAAAAAACCAUCAGAACUUUUUCAUUUCAUUGUUUUCACUAUAUAUAUUUACAGAACAGUUAACAUGCACAUAGAAACAUCAUUAACACUUGUCAAACUAAACAAACAAGUGUAGAGCAUCAGUUACAAGGUACAUGCAUAACACCACGUAUGGUGUUCUUUGUACAGCACAACAAAAACAAUUUCCUGCACAGCAUUUAAAUAACAAAAAACCAUGUCUCUGUCUUUACUUAGACACUUGCAAGCAUUACAUUCAACAUUCCCCCUUAAUGCUUGCUUGAUGCACCAUUAAUUUGUUUCUCUGAAACUCAAACAUUGGCUUCCUGAGUGCUUUAGUCAUAAUAUCAGCAAGUUGAUCUUCAGAAGGACAGUAUUGGAUGCAAAUUUCACCCUUCUUUUCAGCAUCCCUUGGAGCAUGAUAUUUCACACUGAUAUGUUUAGUUUUUCCAUGGAAGACAGGGUUUUUGGCCAUAGCUAUAGCAGAUUUAUUAUCAAGCCACAAAUCAGUAGCUUCAAGCUGAGGCAUAGUGAGAUCAUGAAGAACCUUCCUCACCCAAAUUGCAUGAUUUGCUGCUGAAGCUGCAGCCACAUACUCAGCUUCCGCAGAAGAUUGAGCAACCAUGUCUUGCUUGUGGGAGCUCCAAGAAAAUAAGCCAUUUCCAAGAGUGAAUACAUACCCGGAAGUGCUCUUUGCAUCAUCUAGAGAUCCAGCCCAGUCACUAUCAGAAAAUCCUGAUAGUUUAACAGCCUUUGUCUGAGUGAACUUCAAACCAUAAGCUGCUGUACCUUUUAAAUACCUGAGUAUUCUUUUUGCAGCAACAAAAUGACAGCUUCUUGGUUUUUGCAUAAAACGAGAUAAAUAGCUGACAGCAAACAUAACAUCAGGCCUUGUUGCACAUAGGUACAGAAGACAACCGAUAAGACUUCUAUAUUGAGAAGGAUUUUCCAGUUCAAAACCAGAUUGGGAAGAUAACUUCUCAUUAACUACCAGAGGUGAAGCAGUGGCUUUGCAUUCAUUCAUCUGAAACUUUUUAAGCAUUUCAAGCACAUAUUUGUGUUGAGAAACAUGUAUUCCACUAUGAAUCCUUUUGAUUUCCAGCCCCAAAAAAUAAGUCAUAUCUCCCAAAUCGGACAUAUAAAAUUCCUUCUCCAUAUUCUGUUUGAAUUUUCUAACAGCAUCUUCACUUCCCCCUGUCACUAGUAAGUCAUCCACAAACAAGGAUAGGAUUAGUGGAGCCUCAUUGCUGUGUUUUAACACAUAAAGAGUUGCUUCAUUAGGACUCUUUUGGAAUCCUUGAUCAAGCAGGUAAGUGUUAAUCCUGCUGUACCAAGCACGAGGUGCUUGUUUUAAUCCAUAAAGAGCCUUGUGAAGUCUGUACACCUUUCCUCGUCCAGAACAGAGUUCAAAUCCCGGUGGUUGCUCCACAUAAAUUUCUUCAUCAAGCUUCCCAUUUAAAAAUGCUGAUUUAACAUCCAAGUGAAAGAGUUUCCACUGGAAUGCAGCAGCCAAAGCUAUAAGCAAUCUAAUAGUGUCCAAUCGAGCCACUGGUGCAAUGGUUUCUUGGAAAUCAAUACCAAGUAUUUGAGAAUAGCCCUUCACUACUAGUCUUGCCUUGUACCUGUUUAAAGUGCCAUCAGGAUUGAGCUUUCUUUUAAAAAUCCAUUUGACCCCAAUUACUUGUCGAUCCUUAGGCCUAUCCACCAGAGACCAAGUUUUGUUUUUGACUAUCAUAUUCAGUUCUUCCUUCAUAGCUGUAACCCAAUGCUCAUAAACUGCAGCAACUUCAUAAGAGUUAGGUUCUGUGAUAGCCAUAUGACAUCUCUCAUAAAUGUUUUGAAUAGACCUUACUCCUCUAACUGGAGCUUCAUCAACUGUUUCAUCAUCAACAAGAAUUUGAGAAUCAGUAUGUUGAUAUUUUGAUACAUCAAUAAAUUCAUUCGAAUCUACAGCUUGGCUUUGCUCCCAAUUCCAGCUCCUAUUCUCAUCAAAUACAACAUUCCUGCUAACAGAAAUUCUACCAAAUUCAACCUGAAAUAUUCUAUAUGCUUUGGACUUCAAACUAUAUCCAAUCAGAACCCCAAUCUGAGCCUUUGGUUGAAGUUUGUCUCUCUGUUCCUCAGGUAUAUGUUGAUAACAAAGACUUCCAAACACUCGCAAAUGAUCUACAGAAGGCCUGGUCCCAUACCAUGCUUCAUAUGGAGUGAUAUUUUGUUUUGCUCGAGUAGGAAUAAUAUUGAGCAAGUAUACUGCUGUCGAGGCUGCUUCUGCCCAAAAUCUUUUGGGCAUAUUUUUCUCAAGCAUCAAGCACCUGCACAUCUCAAGUACUGUGCGAUUUUUUCUUUCACUUACCCCAUUUUGUUGGGGGCAAUAUGGAGCUGUUAGCUGGUGAAAGAUCCCUUCCUUCUCUAAAAAUUUAGAAAAUUCUUGAGAUGUGUACUCACCACCAUUAUCUGAUCUGAGUACCUUGAUUUUCAUACCAGACUCUAACUCAGCUCGAGCUUUAAAUUUCUGGAACCAACUGAAAGUUUCUGACUUCUGUUUCAUAAAGAAUAUCCAGCAGAACCUGGUCAGAUCAUCUAUAAAUGUAACAAAGUACCUGCUCCCAUUUAAUGACUCUUCACUUAGAGGACCUCCAACAUCUGAAUGGAUAAGAUUAAGCUUAUCCUUUGAUUUGCUAAAACUGGCAGUGGGAUAAGGCUUUCGAGUUAUUUUUCCAAGCUGACAAGUUUGGCAAAUAGGGCCACAUUCUGAUAAUUUGGGAAGCUUAUCUGCAAGACCUGAAUUACUCAACUGUAUCAAUGAAUUAUAAUUGCAGUGACCAAAUCUCUUGUGCCACAGAGAAGUCAAAUUUGAGUGAACUUCUGUUGCCUGCAAACAUGCAUCUUUCCAGUUCACUGGGAAACAAUUUUGUUUCAUAGAGAUGUUCAUCAUAUAAUCACCAUUAGGAGCAUAAAUAGUGCAAGACAUAUCUUUAAACAAUAAGACAUAGUUAUGCUUAAGCAUUUGUCCUACACUUAAUAGAUUUUUAGUGAUUUCUGGCACUAAGAGAACUGCAAACUCAUACCUGGCACCAGAAGAAGUUUGAAUUGGCACUAACCCUUUUCCUGUUGCUUGCAAAUAAACACCAUUCCCAAUCUCAACUUUCGAACGGUAUUAAUCAUCUAUUUCAACAAAUAGCUUCACAUUUGGAGUCAUGUGAUUUGAAGCUCCACUGUCCAAAAGCCAAAGGCUUGCAUCAACAGUUUUUAAAUUUCCAGUUUGAGCCAUAAACAAAUGCUCUUCAGCUGUUUCAGCUUUCUCAACUGGUUCAUCAGCCUUGACUUGAGUCUCGACUUUGUUUUUGCAAACUCUCUGUACAUGCCCCAAUUGGUUACAAUUUCUGCACCUCACAUUUGGUCUAAACCAACAACUAGCCUCAGCAUGACCCUUUCUCUUGCAGUGAGAACAUAUAUGAGCCUUGCCUUUUUUCUGUUGAUUUCUGUAUACAGAUUGAACCCCUUUAUCUUUCUCUUUCUGUUCAACAGGACCUUUUCUUGUGCUUGUCUCUCCCACUGUUUUUCCUUUCAUUUUAGCAAAUAGGACAUUUGCAGUUACACUCUCACUUCUCAUAACUCUCCUGUGUUCAGCAGCUUGGAGAGCAUAUGCAACAUCUGAUAGUGACAUUUUGGAGAGUUCCCUUUCCAGAGAAGCAACUGUUGCUUCAAAUCUUUCUGGUAGAGAUACAAGAGCCUUUUGAACAACUAUUUUUUCUGAAAUAUCCUCUCCCGAGAGUCUGAGUUGAUUAACAACUCUCAUAAGUCUGCUGAUGAAGUCUUUUGCAUUUUCAGAAUCCUUCAUUCUCAUUGUAUCAAACUCCCUAGUCAAGUUCAUAAUUUGCAUGUCUUUGGUUCUUUCAGAACCUUCAAACUGAACUUUCAGUCUUUCCCAAGCAUCUUUGGCAGUUUUACACCCCAUAAUUCUUACAAACAUAGCAUCUGUAAGAGCUCCCUGGAUGUAAGACAAGGCUCGGAAUCGUUUAGCCACUUCCUCGUGGUGCUGCUUUACUUGAGCAGGGGUUGCAUUAUCCUUCAAAGCUGGAACUUCAGCUCCUGAUUCAACAGCAUCCCAGAGGUCCAGACCCCUAAGAUAUGACUCCAUUUUCUCAAACCAAAUUGGAUAAUUUUCUCCAUUGAACGCUGGAGGUGAUUGAAAGCUGAAUGCAGUAUUUGAUGGAGAGGGAGAGGCCAUAGUUUUUCAAGUGAGUGUAUGGUUUAUUUCAGAGAAAGUGUUACUUGGAUUCAACUGUCUAUACGGUCCCUUAAGAGCUUAAUUCAGCUCUGAUACCAUGUUGAGAUUGCAGUCAAACAAGGAUAUAGGCUACUGAUAUUAGCCUCUACUUUGUUGAUGAAACAGAGUUUGCAUAAAAAACCAUCAGAACUUUUUCAUUUCAUUGUUUUCACUAUAUAUAUUUACAGAACAGUUAACAUGCACAUAGAAACAUCAUUAACACUUGUCAAACUAAACAAACAAGUGUAGAGCAUCAGUUACAAGGUACAUGCAUAACACCACGUAUGGUGUUCUUUGUACAGCACAACAAAAACAAUUUCCUGCACAGCAUUUAAAUAACAAAAAACCAUGUCUCUGUCUUUACUUAGACACUUGCAAGCAUUACAUUCAACAGAGAGGUGAUACUCCUUUUGCCCUGAGCUGGUGGCAGGGGUUUUUAGGAGUAAACCAUCUGCUAGCCGCAUUUGUUUUCUGCUCAAUGAAUUUAAGCAGACCUUUGCUUUCAAAAAGAUAGUCUUGAGAAACAAGGAGAGUGAAUUGUUCGAUGGAUUUGAUGGCCGGAUGGUCUGGAGAAACAAGUCAAGUAAAUGUUUGGAUUCUUCCAAAUGGUUGAAUUUGCAGGCGAAACCCAAGGAUCGAGGGAAGGCUAGAUCAAAAAUUUUGAAGGCCAUAGUGAGUACAGAUACAGAAACUGUUGUUGUCCCUUCUUCACUUUUUGAUAAAGCAGGGGGUCUGCCAUGGUUCAAUGGGGAAAUGAAAAUCCCCAUCUACAAAUUCUUCACUCCUGCCAAAAUGGCGUAGGACCUCCAUUAUGAAGCAAGCAUCAACUAACAUCAUUUCAACGAAUUCGGCGCUGGACAUUGACAAAUCCUCUGAGUAACAUCUUCUUGUACGUCGUUCCAGUUUCACCAUCGGUCGGACAUAGAAGCAUAAAUCUUUGCCUUGGUUUCUUGUCCGAGACAGAAAUUUCUCAAGAAAUGAAUACUUGUAUUUGUCAAGUGGAAGGUUUUUACCCCUAUGGUAAGGCCCUAUAGGGUUGAAAAUGCCCUCCCUGAAAAAUCGGUUAACCAUUUAUUUUUUUCAUUUUUGCCUCUGUCAGGGGCGAUUUUCAGCACCUGGCAGUGCGUGUUUUUUUGGUUUUGCCCUUGUACGAAUCGUUCGCGGUUGUUUUGCUUCCCUGCUUAGCCAGCUGGCUUUUCAAUUUCCCUCUGGAAUGUUCGUCAUAUUCAUUCUAAUCCUGGCUUAAUUCUGCUUAAUUAGAGUGUUUGAUCUGUUUUUAAGCUAAAUUAAUUAAUAACACUUGUUUUUGGGUCCAGGCUUUAGUAAUGGGUACAGGACACAUCAGGCCCAAUACAAGUACUAAGUUUUAAAAGUAAUAGAAAAUAAAAUGAAAUAAAAACAAAAACUAAAAAUUAAAAAAAUAAAGAUAAAAAUUAAAAUCAAAGUAAAGUACAAUAAUCAAAAUGGUGUUUACAAGGGCAAGAAAUAAGUUUUAAAAAUAACAUGUCUACAAGGGCGAGAAAAAAAUUGUAAACAUAACGUCAAUUAAAUAUUGGUCAAUCAAUAUUUCCGAUUCUUGAAUGAUCGAUUUUUGACUUUCAUCUAAUUCUGAUUGCCAUUGGCACCAACGAAUUAUAAUUACCGGUACCAGACGCAAUGUCAAAGAAGCCAAACUUAACCAGUAGGAAGCACAGCAAAGGUUGGUGAUACAGAAUAAAACAAUCCUGGGAUCUCUCAAACAAUGGCGCAGCCAAGUAAUUCCAUCCCCCUCACGAUAGCGGUUUGUUUCCAUUAUUGUCUUGUAGAGGUAGGAAUCUUGAAUAUUGUCAAUAUCAGAAUCAGAAAUAUUAGGUUGAAGAGAAUUGAAAGAAGACGCCACCUGUACGUCGUCGUUGGAAAAUCUAGAGAUAAUUCCAUCUGAACAUAGGCACUCUACAUCAGUCGGACAUUUAAUCAAACUGCUCAUGAAAGAGGCAUAAGCGGUCAAAUCUUUGGAGCGUCCAGUAGAACAAUGCUCCAAGGCCACGCCGUUAACAAGGAUGACGAUAAAGAGAUCAUUGACGGUUACAGGUGGGAUUUCAAGCACUCCGUCCUUGAAUUGGAUAUCCGUGAACCUAUCGGCUCUUCGUGGCCUGAACUCUAUACCUGACUCUAGGAGUUCCCGUGCACUUUUUGAGAGAUGAACCUGUUCAAGUUUGGCUGUCUUUGAGGUUGAUGGUUUCGAAUGCUUAGACAGUUGAUAUUCCUUUUGCUUUGAGCUGGUGGUAGAGGUUUCUAGAAUUUGACUGUCUGCUACUUUUGUGAUGCGCAUUUGGUACCUACUUCUGAUGUAAUGGAGAAGUAAGUAACAAACUGAAAUGAUAUCCUUGAGAAACGAGGGGAGUGAAGUCGUCGAUGGUUUUGAUGGGCGGAUGGUCUGGAGAAACAAGUCAAGUAAAUGUUUGGGUUCUUCCAAAUGGUUGAAUUUGCAGGCGAAAUCCAAGGAUCGAGGGAAGGCUAGAUCAAAAAUUUUGUAGGCCAUAGUGAUUACAGAAACAGAAACUGUUAUGGUCCCUUCUUCACUCUUUGAUAAAGCAGACAACUCUUCAAGAAUAAAGAAAGGAAUUUGGUUCUCUAGCAAGAGCAGGUCUCGAACCAAAAUGGGGGUCUGCCAUGGUUCAAUGGGGAAACUUAAAUCCCCAUCUACAAAUUCUUCACUCCUUCUGCCAAAACGGCGUAGGACCUCAAUUAUGAAGCAAGCAUCAACUAACAUCAUUUCAACGAAUUCGGCGCUGGGCAUUGACAAAUCCUCUGAGUAACAUCUUCUUGUACGUCGUUCCAGUUUCAUCAUCCGUCGGACAUAGAAGCAUAAAUCUUUGCCUAGGUUUCUUGUCCGAGACAGAAAUUUCUCAAGAAGUGAAUACUUGCAUUUGUCAAGUGGAAGGUUUUUACCCCUAUGGUAAGGCCCUAUAGAAGCCAAUUGAGGCUCUUGGAAUGCUAAUCCAGGAAAAGGAGUUCUAAAGAUGCAGGGAGAAGAGGUAUUACAAGAUCUAUCUCCAUAAUGAUUGACUUGCGUGUAUGCCAUAAGCCGCAGUCGUCGGGAUCUGCUGGACCUUGGCAGGAAAUCUUUUGCAGUUGCCUGUGAAUAACGAUGUCUUUAGUUUCUCAAUUCUCAAACGAAAAAAACAACGGGGAAUUAACUUUUAAAACUAAUAAUAGGAUACUUCUCUAAAUAGGUAAAAACUAUACAUACAUACAAUAUAUAUAUAUNNNNNNNNNNNNNNNNNNNNNNNNNNNNNNNNNNNNNNNNNNNNNNNNNNNNNNNNNNNNNNNNNNNNNNNNNNNNNNNNNNNNNNNNNNNNNNNNNNNACUAUAUAUAUAAUAUAUAUAUAUACUAUAUAUAUAUAUAUAUAUAGUAGUAAUUAUAUUAUAUAAGAACACAGUUUAAUAUAAUCUUAACCAAACUGUAAAAGAAAUUUUAUUUUAUAUCAUGAUCAUAAAUAAAUAUCCAUCCAAAAAGAAAAUGUUUACAUCCGGAUGGAGCUGGAAUUCCAGUUCCUCAUGGUGAGAGUUGUCUUGAUCUUGACGGGUUGAAAUACGUCUUCCCCGGUCCUCGUCUUCCUCGUUCUUCUUGCUAGUCGAGCUCCUACGCUUCAUUGGUCCUUUCACUUCUCUUUGCAAGGCAAAUUGCUUUAAUGAGGUAACGGACCAAAGAAGAGACCUUCUCCAGGUUGCAGAUCUAGUGUUUUUGGUUUUAAAGACAGUUGGUUUGUCUUAAAAGCAAAAGGAAAGGCAAAGUGCAUGGAAAGAGUGAAACCUGAGUUGCCUUUUAUCGGAUUCCCGGUAGCUUCCUUUUUAAUAUGUAAUAAAAGGAAAAUACAGCUAUUCAUAAAUGGACAUAAGGUAUAAGACGUUUUUGAGAAUGAUCUUUUUUAUAAUUUUAAUUAUUUUUAGCUAGGAGAAAAAAAAUGAUAAAAUUAUCUUUAAUGAAAUCGACUCAUUCGUUAGGCUCCGCGCCUCAACCCGAACAACUUGAAACCUAUUAAUGGGUCAAGUAUGUCCUUUAUGUGAACCACAACUGUUCAGUUUUCAUCGAGAGACCAUACAUAUCCACAGAAGCAAGUCUGCAAAAGCAUUCCUCGACAGUUCAACUUUCAAUCAUUUUGGCAGUGGUAGGAGCCUUUUGGAGUGGUUAUUAUUCGCACAAAGGUAGUUCACAUAUUGAGCAGUGUGAGGAAGUUGACAUUACGUUAAGAAAGGUAUAAUAUUUUUUUAUGAAUUUUUUUAUUUUAUUUUGAACCAUGUAGAGGUUUUUGACAGAAUGGUUAUUGUUUAUGUUUAGGGUUAAAGUUUUUGAGCAUAAACCUAUACAUAUUACACAUUCAUAUUUAUAUUUAUGUUGUUUGAAAUUUUGAAUAUAAACAUGAAGGUGGUAUUGUUGGUGUUUAGGGGUGGAAAGGUGACCGACCAUGCGUGACUGGUUGAUAUGUAUGUGUUAGGAAUUCGGUUGAGGGUUUAGAUGUUGCGUGAGUGAGGGCGUGCUUAUGUGGUUGGCACCUUUUGCUUGAGUGGAUUUUGGCAUGGGGUCACGUUGCGGUUGCGUGAUUGAAAAAGGGUUCAACUUAGCAUGACUGAUUGAUAGGUCAUUGCGUGACUGGUUUCUAUGUUAUUGCGUAAAUAUUGUUUUGGCAUGGCGUCAGUUAGUGUGUGUGUGAUUCGAUUAGUUGUUCUUAGAAUUACGUGACUUGUUUAUAAAUCAUUGUGUGAUUUAAUGUUAGUAAUUGUGUGACUAAUUGAUUAGGCAUUGCGUGACUAUUGUUGUAGGAAAUUGCACGAGUGUCAUAACCACAUAAAAUUUAUCUGCAUGGAUUCAUUCUGUAUUAUUUUGGGUCAAUUGUAAUGCUUUAAUGUGUAUAUGUUGAUUUACUUAAUAAUCCAUGCUCCACACUUGGAUUAAUUAUUCUGUUUCAGGGAUUCUAAAAACAGUUAAAAAUAUUGUUAUGGUUAUUUUUUGAGUGAGCUUAUGAAAAGGGUCAUUUCUCAGAAAUUUCUCUAGUUUUUUUGUUAAUCUACAAUUAUGGUAUUAACAUGACUAAAAUGGGAAUGUUAUCUGUUUUAUGUUGCAGAUGGCCAGCAUAGGAACAGAGCAGGAAAACAUGGAGUCCUUGCUUUGUGUGCCGAGGCACCAGUGGGGGUUAAAUGCUUUCAUUAAAAUCCACUGUAAGUGGUCGCAUCUGCACGUGAUACGUGAGAUACUGUGUCAAGUGAACGAGCUGGAAAACUUUAAGAGAACAUGCUUUGGGCACAUGAUGGAUGUUGAAGCAAACAAGGGUUUAUUCUGCGCCAGUCUAGUGCACAAUCUAAUGCUGCGCAGAAUCAACGAACCUGACUCCACGGAGGUAGAGUUAUGGUUCGUAAUAGGGAAAAUGACGGUCAGCUUUUCUAAAAAAGAGUUCUGUCUAAUGACAAGACUGAAGUUCGGUCCCCUAUCAGCCCUCAUUGUCAAUCGGUACAAGGCCCUUCCUGGAGGAAUUCACUUAAGAUAUUGGGGACUGGGGAAGGAGGUGAAGAUCCAACAGGUUUUAGAUACGUUGAAGGGAGGGCAGUUUUAGCAGGAGGGAGACGCGAGCAAGAUGGCCUUCAUCUUGAUCACGACCAAUGUUUUUUUCGGUCAAGACUACAGAUGAUCUAUGGUUCCAUGGUUGUUGUUGCUGGUUGAGAACAUCGACGAGUGGAAUGCAUUCCCAUGGGGCACAUAUGUAUGGAGUCUGACCGUGGAUUACCUACUGAGGGGUUUCAAACCUCCUGCUGCGGGUGAAGCAGAGAAGAAGCGCUACCACCUCUACGGAUUCAUAUGGGCUUUUCAGGUAGUCUGUCAUAGCCUAAUGUUUAUCAUUAUCAUUAUUCUUUUCGUAUAAGAAUUUAUGAGGUGAGUAAAAAUGUUACACAAUUGAUGUGCAGUUUUGGGCGUUGGAAGCAAUACCUGAAAUCAGAAGCUUGUUCGGUAGGCAGCAGUAAUCCUGACAAGUUUGGCCAAGAAUGCUUAAAUGGCAAUGUGACGAGAGGCCUUUACGUUUCCACUCCAAUAUUGCAAGUUUGGAGAGAGAAUGCAAGGUGAGUAAAGAAACCAUAUUUUUUUAUUUUAUUAAUUUUUAUUUUGAUUAUCAUAGGGUAGCUGAAGUUAUACCUAAUGGUAAUGUAUGUUUUGGUGCAGUUGUGGGCAGUGAGGACGUUGGAGCCAACGGCGUAAGAGAUGUUGACCGCAUAAUGGGCGGACAUUGAGGUCAAUAUCUCCGAGGAGCAGCAAUACAUUCCAUUAUGGAAGUUAGAGGGUCCGCCAAAAUUCGGUCCCCAACAAAAGAGGAAAAUAAUGGGUCGAAAAAGGAAAAGUCCAGUACGACGAGCCGUUAAGUUGAGACGCACCACAGACGAGAAGGUCCAUUCCAAGCGAGGUGCUGCUGAGGCACCUCAUUCUCCUGCUGUAGCUCUUCAUGGUGCAUCUCCUCCUGCUACUGCUCCUCCUACUUCUGCUACUGCCACUCAUCCUGCUUCCGAUGUUACUCCUCAUGCUGAGCCAUGCAAUCGGGCGCUCCAUCCAUAAAUGACUACAAGCAUUAAGGGAGAGCUGUAAAAGAUGCAGACACAGUGGAAGAAAGACCUCCAGUCCUUGCUGACGAAUAUGCAGAUGCAGUCAAUGAAGUUGGAGAUCUAGCAGUCAAUGUAGUUGGAGAUCCAGCGGGCGAUGCCGAUGUAGACGCAAUCACUGUAAAAGCAUAUCAAACACUCACUGUAAGGGCUGGAAGAUCGGAUUGUCGAUCUGUUGAUUGACCAUUUUGAGGUAUGAGGUUUUACGUUAUUCAUCGCGUGAGUUAUAACAUGUAUGAUGGAUACACUGUUCUAAUGUGUUUGAUUUCAUUGAUCGUUUAAGGUCAAAGCUCACCUCCCGGUAGCCCGAUUGAACAUUAUCCUACGGCUAUCCCAUCUUCGGUAGAGGCAACCCAGCAUUCUCAGCCCACACUUUCUCCCAAGGCUCCACUUCCUCGAUCUGAGGUUGAAGAGGUACCUCAUCCUGCGAGUAAUGGAACUACAACUUCCUCGCGUCCUGCUCCUGUCCCAACUCCAGCAGAGGCCCCCCCGCAUGGUGAGAUCAGACCUUUUGCUGAGCGUCCACCUCGACCUGAGCUCAAAGAUACACGUGUGAUCUUGGCCAGUAAAUACAUUCGAAGCCCGUACGUUAACCCACUAUUAGUUUAGAGCAAAGCGAAGGACGAUUUGAAGGACAAAUAUGAGUCCUUCCUGAAAAAUGACCAAGCCAGGUAAAAUAAAAACAGUGGACCAUAUUAAGGUUAACGGUUUUAGGAUAUUUAUUAAACAGUCCGCAAUAUUAUAAUUUUAAUAUAACUCUAUUUUAAAUUUGCAGGGUUAGCAUUCUGGGCAUCAAAGGGUAGGAGGGCCUUGAUUUUUUUUUACGAUUAGAGAUGCCGACAGAGUUGAUGAACACCCAACAGAUUGAUGCAUGCAUCAGUGUGUUGUGUAAGUGGGCACGCGAGCACCAUCCACAACACUACAAGCAGAGAAUAUUGAUCGUUGACACCACAUUCUAUGUAAGUAUAUUAUAUUUUAUUGAGUUGUAAUUAUUCAAAUGUAUGGGAUUUAAGGUUACUUAAUUACAUCUAACUAUUGUGCAUAACGUAAUUGACAGCUUAUUUUGCUCCAUCUGAGCGAAGAAAUGCAACCUUCCCCUACCGAUAAGACAUUCAAGCCAAGUGAGGCAGUUAUGCCAAACGAGCUACUUAGUAUGCAAGGGGUGGGAGACCUCCAUGGGGUUUGCCAUGGCAUGAGGUUGAUGCAAUUCUUGUACCGUGCUUUUUCAACAACCACUGGGUGGUAGUGCACGUUAACUUACUGAAAUGGACUAUGAUGUUAGUGGGCUUAUCGUACGGUUAGAAAGAAGCAGUGAAUUUUGGCUUGUGUGAUAAGCAGAUGAGUCCACUAACAUCAUUGUUUCCCAUUAUAUGCCACCAGGCAAGGUACUUUGUCAGCUCGCUUCGUCAAAAGCAAGGUUUGACGCGGAUGAAAUAUAGGUUAAAUGAGAAGACCUCGAUACAGCAAGAUUCUCACAAUUGCGAGGAUUGGGUUAUAGCCUCGUUGCAAUGGUUGAUCGGCUUGGAGGAUCAGACGAUGAAGGCAAACGCCAUAGAGGGCAUUAAAACAAACUUUGCCCUUGAGAUUUUUGCCACUAGCUCAAGUUGUUAAAUUUUUUAAUUUGUUUAUUCUUUUUCAUUCCAUAAUUAACACUAACAUUAUUCUGUAUCAUCUCCAUAUUAUUCUUUGUUGUAUCAUUUACAUAUUAUUCUUUGUAUUCAUUCAUGUGAUACGCAUACGGGUUCAAUAAGAACAACAUUGUUUCUUUCUUAUUCAUAUCGUAAGGUCUGUUAGUAUUUUACACAAUUUACAUGACAGCAUUCAUUCGUUUGCAUAUGCCAACCCCCAUUUGCUUCUUUACUUUAUAGCCUAUAUGACAUGUUGAAUUGCAUUGCAUGACAUAAAGUUGUAAGCAGUUGCUAUUGAAUGGCGUGAAUGGUGUGGAUGGAAUCGCUUCACCAAAUGAAAUUGAUUAUCGGGAGUAUUUGUUAUGGAGUCACGCGAGUACUAAAUUUUGAACCAGGUCAUUAUUAAUAUGGAAUCGCGUCACAAAUCCACUUGAAAUUGUGUGAGUAGUAAAUAUGGAUCGUGUGAACAGUUAAGAUUUAAAUCACGUGAGUAUUUGAUAUUUACUCCCGUUAGUAGUAAAUAUGGAGUGGCGUUACUAGUUAAUAUGAAAGAACGUGACAUGAGUUUUUUGUAGAAUUGCUUGACUAGUUGAUAUUGACUUGCGUGACCGAAUAUUAUGGAAUUUCAUUACCAGUUUAUAUAGAUUCGUGUGAGUAGUAUGUAUGGAGUGGCGUUACGAAUUCUUAUUGAAUCGUGUGACUAGAUGAUAUGGAUCGCGUGAACCAUUAAGAUUUAGAAUCGCGUGAUUAUUUGAUAUUUACUCUCGUUAGUAAUAAAUAUGGAGUGGCGUUACUAGUUAAUAUGAAAUCAUGUGACAUGACUUUUUUGUAGAAUCACGUGACUAGUUGAUAUUGACUCUCGUGACUGAAUAUUAUGGAAUUACGUUACCAAUUUAUAUGGAGUCACGUGAGUUGUAUGUAUGGAGUGGUGUUACGAAUUCUUAUUGAAUCGCUUAACUAGAUGAUAUUGCAUCGUGUGACUCACCUAUUCUGUGUCAUGUUCUUCGAAUAAGGGUAAGCUAAUUACCAUGGACAGUAUCAAACCUUAACUCAACCCUAAGCACCAUCAUAACAAAAUAUUGAGUUAAAGAAAACUAAAUACCACAAGUGAAUUAUGAAAUACAAACUACAGUAUCCAUAAUCUAGUUAACCCACAACUCUCAAAUAUGAAUGCUCAUCUGGAAUGGUUAACUCAGCCAGAACCAAUGACAACUGACUUCCUUUUUCUCUGAGGUUAAUGUCGGAGAAACUCAUCUGAGGACAGUCAAUUCUACCGCACUUUUGCUGCCCAAAUAGUUGUAUCUGUUCUUUGCAUUAGAAGAUUCUCAACAUUCUGCAUCCUCAAUUUCAAUGCCUGCAUUGUAGCAGUUUGAUUACUGAGUUUCUCAUCAAUCCUCAGAAGCAUAUUAUACAUUACAUCAUUGGAAACAGGAACUCUAUACAAUUGUCUGGAUGGAGUAUCAUGGGCAGGAUGAACUGGGCUACCUUCGACAAAGAUCGAUGGCUCAUCAAGACUCAAGUCAUAUCCCCUUUUCAUGAGCCAUCGAAACGAGAGAUUGCGAGGCUUGUGACUGGUCCAAUCAACUAGAUACCUAUUGCUCCAUAUCCCUUUCUUCUUAACUAGAGUCAAUAUGAUGUUCCCGUAUGGAAGGGUCGUCUCUUCCUGCAUGGAAACUUCUCUCAUUGUCGUGAUCAUAUAUUCUACAAUAUUUACGCCAAACUCGCUUCCAAUUGUUUCCAUCAUCCAAAGAUCCUCAGCGCUAACAUGUCUUAAAUUACUGAUCCUUCCCUGUAAUGUGGACACCAGAAAAUUAUGUACCAGCCUAUCUGGGUCAGAAUUCAAAUGACGAGCAAAACAUGACUCUGUGGUGUAUGGUUCUUUUCUACUUGUCACUUGGGCUCACAUGCGGGACGGGUCAUAUGAUGGUGGAAAUGUGUAUUAUCCGUGUUUAUACUCCAUUUUCAGGAGCUUCCCAAUAUCGAAGAGAGUCACUGUAAACUCUAUUCCUCCCAAAAACACAUUCAAAACAAAUGGGUCAAAAUCUCUAGGAUUUUUAAAUUCAUUUUCACUCCGGUGAAUGCUGGAGUAAAAUUCCCUAACAAAUGUCAGGCUAUAAUCAAAAAAAUGGAAAGGUACUUAGACCCUUAAGUUUACCCAUGUCAAAAAAAGAAGAUAGGUCACCCUCAAGGUAUAUGUUUUCUAGUAAGCUUUCCUAAUCUACCACUUUCCCGCAUGAUAUUAUGGCAUUCUUUAUUAUCCAAUACCUACCACCAUGUGAUAUGUCCCUAAACCAUAAAGGAGAGCACAGAUCAUUACCUGGUUGAAUUGAAAAACCAAUUGAUGCGAUAGGUAGUUGAAGAUCUAGUUUCCAUUUCUUCUUUGAUCGUAGGCUGGAGUAUUCAUCAUCACCCAUACUUUGGUCGCCAUUGUCAUGGACAUUGGAUCUGCUCGAAGAUACAGCCAUUGCUUAAGACAGUGUAAGACAGUUCAGCUUUAGUGGUUCAACUUCCCUUCACCUUUAAACUAAGUUUGGAACAGUUAGAAGAUGAAACGGCAACUAUCGAUAGAUAUUGAGAAGACUGAAAUAUGAAAGAAACGGUUGGAAGCUAUCUUAUGCACUUUAUGUUUUUUUAUUACAACGAUUGACAUUAAGGGUGCGUUUGGUAUAAAGGAUGUAAAGUCACAUUUCCUACAAUGUGCCUAAUUAAAUUACAUUGCAGUGUUUGUUUUGUAACAAACCACCACAAUGUAAGAUUGCAAUGCAAUCACAUUGCAGCCAGUGGAUGUAAUGUGAUUGCAAUCCAAAACCAAUGCAAUCACAUUACAUUGCACUCUACAAUGCCUUUAAGGACAUUUUUACCCGUCAUCUUUUAAAAAAACUACUCACAUUUCGAAGCAAAGCAUCGUUUUUGGGGUUGAGGGUCUACUGCUUCUUCUCCAUUUUGCUAAAGUUGCUCCUCCUUUUUCUAGCUCUGCUUCUUCAUCAUUUGAAAUUGUGGGUUAAAAUCUCUCAUUCUUCUUUUUUUUUCUUCUUUUUUUAUCUUCUUCUUGUAUCAAUUGAACUUACAUUAAAUUUUUCUAACAUAUUCCCUGCAUAUAAAAAAUGGAUCCUUUUAUAUGUUGUUUUUAAAUUGAAUAUUUGUAAGGUGGACAUGAAAAGUUAACUUUGUGCUUACUAGAUGCUGUUUUUAUAUAAUGUUUAUAUUUCAUUAUUUUAAUUAUUUUUUGAUAUUGUUAGUUCACACAAUGGAAGGGUUUUCUCAAGAGCAAACUGCAAUGAUCGUCUCUACUAUUGUAUUAGCCAUUGAGCUAUUCAAUAUGAUACUUUUAGCUAAUACUUUGGUUCAAGGAUGUUAUCAUAUUUUAAUGUAUACUAGAAGACGUAAAAGAUCUAAAACUAGUAUGUAUAUGAGACAUAUUAUUAGGCAAUUGAAUUUUAGGAGAAUGGUGUUUGAUUCUGAUUUAACAUGCAUUGAAAAUAUUAGAAUGGACAGAGCUGCAUUUUAUAAAGUAUGUAAUAUGCUUCAAUGCAUUGGUAGGCUUACACCAACAAAAAACAUGAAUCUUGAGGAAAUGGUGGCUAUCUUUUUGUACAUCAUUUCUCAUCAUGCAAAGAAUAGGAUCAUAAAGAAAGAAUUUGUUAGAAAUGGUGAGACAGUGAGUAGACAUUUUGGCUUAGUUUUGAAUUCUGUUUUAAAAUUGCAAUCAAUACUUCUAAAGAAGCCAGAGCCUGCACCCGAGAAUUCAAUUGACUUCAGAUGGAAAUGGUUUAAGGUAAACUAAAAUUUCUUAAACAUAACUGACUUGAGUAUAAGAAUCUAUUAAAAAUGCAACUAAAGGAUAAUUUUUAUCAUUAUUCUAUUGGAAACAAUAGAAUUGUUUAGGUGCUUUAGAUGGAACUUGCAUUAAAAUCAAUGUCUUAGAAAUUGAUAAGCCUAGAUACAGAACAAGGGAUAAUGAAAUUCCUACAAAUGUGUUAGGGGUAUGUUCACAGGAUAUGCAAUUCAUAUAUAUCUUACCUGGAUGGGAGGGUUCUGCUUCAAACUCUAAGGUUCUUCGAGAUGCAAUAUCUAGAAGAAAUGGAUUGAAAGUCCCAAAAGGUAUGAGGAAAAUAUACAUUAAACUAUUAACUAUUUUAGCACGAUAUUGUUCAGAGUGAUGUAUUAAAAAUAAUUUUUUUUAUCAUAGGUUUUUUCUACUUAUGUGAUGCUAGGUAUACAAAUGGAAAGGGAUUUUUAACUCUAUAUAGAGGUCAGCGUUAUCAUUUGAAUGAAUGGAGACAAAACCGCACUCCUCAUUCAAAAGAAGAACUGUUUAAUUACAAACACUCUGGUGCUAGGAAUGUUAUUGAGAGAUGUUUUAGAUUCCUGAAGAUGAGAUGAGCAAUACUUAGAGAGAAGUUUUGGUACCCAGUGAAAACAAAAUGUAGAAUUAUCUCUGCUUGUGCAUUGUUACACAAUCUCAUUAGGAGAGAAAUGACACAUGAUCCACUUGAGGAUGAAAUGGAUAAAGAGUAUGUGGAAUCAGAAGUGAUGGAAAAUGCAGAUACGAUCCAAUGCAUUGAGACAUCAAAUGCAUGGACUACUUGGAAAAAUAACUUGGCACAAGAAAUGUGGAAUGAUUGGAUAGCUUCUAGAAAUGAAACUUAAUUUUUUAUUUGGUUCAACAAAUUGUAUGCUUUAUUUGUAAUAACUCAAAUUUAUGUUGAUUGAGACAUAUUUGUAUUUCUUCUUAAUUAGAUAAGUUAUGUUUCUUCUUUAAUUUUUGAUAAUGUUCUUUGUAUACUAUAUAUUUGUUAUUAUGCCAUUUCUAUAUUAUGUUUUGUACUUAUAGAUGGAAGUUGCAUCAUCUCAAGAACAACUAUUACUAUUAUUAUACAUCAUUUUUUGGGCAAAAAUAUGAAGCAGGAUGCCUAAUCAAUCACGCAAAUAUUAUUAAAUGAAAUAUUUUAUGCUUUAUUCAAUGGUUUACAAUGAAAUUCAAAUUAUUAAGGAGUACAAUGAAUUUGAUGGUCCAACAAAUAGGCUAACUACUGUAAUUGGAAUUUGAUGAUCCAACUAUGCAAUGGCAUUUUCGUAAAUAAUGGGAACUGUAGUCAACAAUAGAAAAAAUAUUUAAUUUUUUCCAGCACUUUAUCCUCGCUUCCAGCAACUUCUUCUUCUUCUUCCCAUCCUUCUUCCUUAAUAAACGUUUUCUAUGUUGCAUGGAAGCCAUCCCUUGAAACACCCAUACUUUCUCAAAGUAACUUCAAUUCUCAUGCUUUGGUAUAUUUUUUCAAACCUCCACAACUAGCAUAAGGUCUUUCUCUUCCAUAUGGACAUCUUGUGUAUCUUACUUUUCAUUCAAACUCUGUCAAACUCAAGUUGAAAUAGUAUUAUUCAAUGCAAAUAUCAAUGGCAACUUCGAAACAAUCCCUAACAACUGACGUCUGAAGGGCCACUAUCUUCAAGUAUGACACUAAUAACGUUAUCAAAGUUUGUAGUCCGUAUUGGACAGUGGUUUCAUUUGUGCCCGGGUUGUCUGCAAAUUGCACAUGCCUUGGGUCGAUGUCGUCGAGCCGUCGGCUGAGCAGAUGAUGUUUCCCUGUUUGUCGGUAGAGAUGCAAACAGAGUCUAGUAAUUUUGUCUAUUAUAACCAUAGCUCUAGCAUUGUGAACAUCUACGUCGUCCGUUGCCUUCCCCAACUGAUGGAAUCUUUUUCCUUCUAGGUCUUCCCGCUUGACCUCGCCAACUUGGUGGCAAAACGUAAAUUUAUUGCACGUCAUCAGGGAUGUCUUACUCACUAGGAUGCCCAACCAAGUGAAUGGAAACCGCAUAUCUCUCCUCCCAAGAUCGAGUCUUGUAAUAGUCCAAGCAGAAUUCAAUGGCUGCACGUUUGCACUUACUGCUAAGGCAAUGAAAUCACAGAUGGAGAACAAUGUAAAAAUUCAAUUCACCAUGCACAAUAUAACAAAACAUGAUUGCUCAUACCUUAUUGCUACCAUGGCAUACGUGCAGGGGGUAGAUCAGACUGGAACUCACUGCACGAACACUCAUUGGUGGAGAGGUUCACGACUCUAUCCUUACUCCUACCUAUAACUUGAAACUCCACCCGAUCGAUUGCUUGUACGAAAAAGUGACAUACUUCAUUGAACCGACUGUUCAACAGAUCGGUAGCCCAAGGGCUGAAAGGCAUGGUCAAAUUCAAUGCCUCAUUGUGCCGGUUAUGGAACCAACGUUGAAACAUGCAUCUGAUGCACUCGAUCAAGACCGUUAUUGGCAUUUUUCUUGCAUGCCUUAGGUAGGAGUUAAUACACUCCGUAGUGUUAGAUGUCAUUAGCUUGUAUCGCCUUACUGGUGAUUGUGCACGUGCCCAUCUCUCAAGGCCUAAUCUCAUAAGGUUGUCAUAAGCAGGUUUGCAAAGCUAUUUCAGCUGAUUCAUAUGUUCGUCAAAAUCGAUGACUCUAUAGCAGUUGGAGGCCAUGGUGAAAAUCGCUGCAACAUCUUCGCGCUUAAACAUGUUUUUAACGUUUUUCCUUAAGUGGUAAUUGCAUAGACCGUGAUGAGCGUCCUUGUACACUUUCUCAACUGCAUUCUUAAUGCCAAGAUGCUGAUCAGAAAUGAACAUUGCUUUUUCAGAACAACCAAUCGCACGACGCAAUUGGUUAAGAAACCACGACCAAGACUCUUUGUCUUCAACGUGGCCAAUGCUAAAUGAAAAUGGAUAUAUCUGCUCAUUCGCAUCUCUGCAUACCACCACAAAUAGAAUACCCUUGAAUUUACCUUUUAGAUGUGUGGAAUCAAUAGCGACUACAGGCCGCAUUACAGCACUAAACCCACGAAUACAUGAACCGAACGCCCAGAAACAAUAUUUGAAUUGUUGUUCCCCAUCAAUAGUGACACAUGUCACAGUACUGGGAUUUUCACGUUCCAACAUAUGGAAAUACGAGGGGAGGAGUUGGAAUGACUCUUCCGAUGGAUCGAACACAAGACUCUCCGCGUACUCCUUCGCUUACCAGGCCUUACCAUAUAGGCAUUGCAAUUCGCACUGCGAUUCAUCUCUUCCAUUAUUUCCUUUGGUCUCAAUGGGAUUACACAAUUUCCUUGCACCCUAUUGGAGAGAAGCUCACCAAUUACCCUCGCGCUCGCAGUUUGGUACCCACAUUGCAAACCAUCGACAGUACACGUGUGUACCUUAUGCAACGUCCGAACUUGCUAAUAUUCUCCCUCAGGCAAUUUCGUUGCACGCAAAGCAAACUCAUGCCUUGUCCUUACAACUAACCUCAAAACAAGCGUGACAUGACUUUUUAACUCUAAACUCAAAAUGCUCUUUUAGUGCCAACAUGCUCAAAGCUUGUUUCAAUUCAGCCUUCGAUAGAAACACUUGUUCUCAAAAUAAGUGGUCGCCCAUUGAUCUGGAUUCCUCACUCCUAACUGUUUGGAAGGAUAUCAUAUCUAGCCCAGGAAUAAUCCAUUGAUAAGAUACCCCUAUAUUUAUCCUCUCUUCAUCACCAUCAUUAGGCGAAUGAAUGCCGUUCUCAAGUGCGAUGGCGUUCUCAUAAAUAGGGUCACCCUCAACAACUUCUAAUUCAACGAUUCUACAAUGGUCGUCCAACUUAAUCUCUUCUAACACAACAGUUGUGGUAUGACCUCUACCGCUAUCUGCAUGAUUGCAAUCAGGAAUGUCGGUCUGCUCAACCCUGUUGUCCUUUAAACGGUCUUCAUGUCCGCCAACGUAAUCAUCUUCACAAUCAUAAUGUAACUCAUGGUUCCGAUCCGCCGUGUCGUCCUCUUCAACAUUAUCUUCAAUCUUAUCAGAUGCAUCAUCAUCACUCACAACCAUCACAGUGUUGUUUACUAAUGACAAUAGACCCAAUGCAUUUUCGAGCGACAGUUGUGUUUGUUGCAAGGUACCUAGUAUUUCGUUCGAUGCACAUUCCGAUCAAAAUUGUGCAGACAGCAUUUGUAGACACUUCAUGUGUACGCUGGGCUGCUGAAACUCAUGAGGAUACAUCAAACGUGAUUGCCAUGGUUGUUUGUUAGGAAAUGCAUGGUGUGGUAUGUUAGAAUAAUUAACAUUCUAUUCUUGUUGAUUACUAUGUUGGAUACCGUGCUCAUGUGGAAUAUUGUUUGCAUUUCCUACCUUAAUUGUCACAAACACAACAACUGCCCUCUCAUCUCACAAAAUACUCGUUACAUCUUCAUCAUCCCUGAUAACUGCGCGCAAAACCCCUGCGGCAUGGUUGAGCAAUGCAUGUUGCUCGAUUUCAUUAUUAUGUGAGUUGACCCCAACAACCUCUUCAACCAGCUUCACUAAUCCCGAAAAAUGACAAAUCACUCCCAACACCCCUCACUCGUGUCUCACCACCCUUGUAAGUAUUAUCAACCCAAUGACCACCGUAUACAAUCAUAAGCUUCACAUUUGAUAGAUCGCUGAAAUUUAACACAAAAUAAGUUUCACGAUCAGUCAAUUUAUCAAAAAUAGCCCCUCAAUGCAUAGAAACCACUUAUGCAAUGCCUAAGUCACAUUUGGCCGGCCGCAGAAAUUUAACAAAAAUUAAGUGUUGCAAUGUCUAAUACACAUUAAUGCAAUGCCUAAUAACUAGUGAACAAAUGCCCCUAAAUAAGAGGCGAAUUGCACAAGUCACGCGCCACUGCUCACGCAAUAUAUAACAAUAGGUCACGUAAUAUAUAAAAAUCAGUAACGCAAUCCUAAAAAACUACUGAACAAAAGCCUCUAAACAACACAUGAAUUGCACAAGUAACGUGCAACCACUCUUACAAUACAUAACAACAGGUCACGCAAUAUAUAAAAAUCGGUCACGUAACCCUAAAAAACUACACAUGAAUUACACAAGUCACGUGCCACCACUCACGCUACAAGUAACGUAAUAUAAAAAACCAGUCACACAACAAGCCUAAAAAACUACUGAACAAAAGCCUCAAAACAACACAUGAAUUGCACAAGUCACGCGCCACCAUUCUCACUACAACAGGUAACGCAAUAUAUAAAAACCAAUCACGCACUACCUAAAAAACUACUAAACAAAAGCAACACAUGAAUUGCACAAGUCAGUCACGCACCGUCAGGCUCGCAACACCUAAGAAUAAGUCACCCAAUGAAUAAUAAGCCUCUAAACAAGAGGUGAAUUGCACUAGUCACGCACCACCAGUCUCACAAUACCUAAUAAUAAGUCAAUCAAUGCCUAAUAUCCACUCAAGUUAUGCCAACUUAAAUAAUCACGUACUGACCCAACGUCACGCAAUACAUAACAACAUGUCACCAUAGGUACUCUAUUCCAUAUACAUACAAACCACUUACGCAAUGUCUCAACAAAAGAUAUGCAUAGCACAAUUCACGCACCGCGUAUAACCCACUCUCCCAAUACCAAAUAAUAGGUCACCCAAUGCCUAACAUCCACUCACGAAGUUAUUCAGCAUAAUAUCACUUAAAUGAAGAAAAUAACUCAACGAAAUAUGUGCUCGAUGAAAAUAAAAAUUGCUAUAAUUUUAUUCAAAUUUUAUUAAAAAGACCCCUCCGAAUAUACAAGGAGAUGAUACAAAAAAAAUAAACCAUAGUUCAUUUCUUCAUAAGUUCAUUUACUUUGAACUCUAUCUCAGCGAGCAUCUUUUCGUUGCUCAGGAUGGCAGCCUCCAAGUCAAAAGUCCUUUGCAUCAGGAUGUCAAUGAGGAUUUGAAUCUCCUAUUGGAAUAUGUGCAACUGGUCCCUCACACUCAAGAAUAUGUGCAACUAGUCCCUCACACUCAAAGGCACCUCCUCCUUUUUGGAGGCUACCUCUUUCCCCUUUUCGACUCUUGGAUCUUUGGAGGUCAUUUUUCAAUUAUCUGAGAUUGAUUAAGAUAAUUGAAUUUGAUUCAAAUGGUUAAUGGUUCUCUUUAUUUAUAGGCAUGAAAGCUGACUCUUCAUUUUCUACAGCCAUAUCAAUGCAAUGAAAGGGGGCUGAAUUGGUUAUUAAGUACCUAUUCGGCUUGCCCUUUCAUCUUAUUUACCUCUUAAAAGUAAAAGUCAAGCCAAACAUCAUUUUUCAAGAAAUUCUUAAUAAAAAGUAGCAUAAAGGUUUUCUCUCUUUUUCACUAAUCAACAAGGAUUUUAAUGUUACCUCUUUUCUCUUUUUUUUUUUAAUUUAGGCAUCAUGGUCGACCAACCAAAAUCUAAUACUAUUGCUACUAUACAAGUCUGAAAUUAUACAUAAACUUCAAGAAUUACAUUAGAGCUUAUUAGGUUAUUGAAGAUAAUCAGUAGAGAAUCACCUUCAGCAUUAGGUAGCUAAAGUCAUGCAAUGCCUACAAAUAGGUCACGCAAUGCUCAACAGAUAUUCAGUCACGUAAUAUUAAGUCACAUAACGCUUGUCACGCAACGCUAACAAAUAUUCAGUCACGUAAUAUCUAUAAAAAACUCACGCAAUGCUCAACAAAUAUUCAAUCACGUAUUAACUCUCACGCAACGCUCAACAUAUAUUCAGUCAUGUAAUGCCUAUAAAGAACUCACGCAAUACUCAACAAAUAUUCAAGCACCUAAUGCCAAAUAAACAAGUUACGAUUCCUAAUAUUCAAUCACACACCCUAAUAUCCAGUGACUCAAUGCCUAAGAAACAUUCACGUAUCGCCUAAAAACUGAUUGAUUUCGCUACCCCCAGCCAGAUUUAAGUUUCCAAACUCAUAUAAUUUACCCCUCAAUUUUUUCGUUCUAUGAAUAACCCUAAAUAAACGUAAGAACCCAUAACAAAAACCUUGAUGUCAUCUUUGCACUUUGGGAUCGUGAGAAAGAUGACCGUCAAUAUAGACCUCGAUGGCAUUGGAAAGCUGGACGAAGGGAUAGCUAAAUCUAAAUCGAGAUUUAAUUUUAAAAUUUUAAGCUGAAUGGCAGGAGAGCAGAAAGAAAGAAACUGAGACGCGUCUUCAUUUGGAUUAAUUGGAUUAAAGGAUAUUCUUGUCAAGUUGUAUCAAAAAUUGACUAAAAAUAAUUAAAAUUAUAGAGACGAUUAUUUUUGAAGUCAUCUUACUACGAAAGUCAUUUCUCAUAAUUUUCUCAAAGGAAAAAUACAAAUCUAUCCUAACGUUAAAAAGUACAAAACAAUUAGACUUGGUGGCUAAUUUUCUCUAAUUUUUUUAAUUAAAGUUGUCUUUAAAAGUACAAGGAUUGCCUAAAUGACCUCUUGUUGUCAGAUUAUGUAAACAUCUAGGUGUAUGCCAAGAUGUUUCCGAAUUACUUAUCUCUUUAAUUUUGCUGAAAUUUCUUAGAAAGAAAAUAAAAGUCAAAGGACUAUUUCUUCUCUUAGGCUUCUGCGCGAAGUCUACGUUUGGCUUUCACAAAUGUCUAAGUAGGUUUAUGCCAUUUCCAUUUGAACAGUUCUAGUCUUGUAGCGACUGACCUAGAACACCUCCAGUAGGGCCAGGCUUUGGAGCAAACAAAAAAAAAACCUCCUCACCCAAAUUUAAAAAUCAAAUCAGACAUGAAAUGAAUGCAUGAAAAGCAAGGUAAGCACGUCAUUUCAAUAAGACCACACACGUGUCUCGUCUAAAAAAAUACGCAGCUCGAGACACCAAAACAUCACAACACCAAUUUCGCUCCUCCAACCUUCACGUAGCAAAACUUGAGGACCCCAUUGGAGCAUGACAAGCAUCUGACACAAAACCAUGGACUUGGAUGGAAAUGGGUUAACUGGAUUGACCGAGGGUAAAGAUUUUUGUUUUUUAUGUUGCUUUAACUUAAUUGCCUCCUUGAUUGGAUAAAGGACCCACCCUCAUGAAGUUUAAUUUAAGUUUGACUAUAGGGAAAUCUGACUUGACUGUUCUUUUGUAAAAUUUAACUUAUUCAUGGGUUUAGAGAUUGAAAACGUGUACAUUGUACGAGUCGACGCAUGGGUAAAUGAGGGGCUUCUUUUACUUAUAAAUUUACAAGCAUAAAAUAUUUUUCUAAUGAUUUUUGUAGAUUAGAGAGUUAAAUUAAGAUUUUGUGGCUUAGACAUUAUUUCUUGAGUGAUUGACGAAAGGGGUUUACUUAUCUUUUUUCCUUUUAAUCCUGGACAUUAUAAUUUGAAAUUGAAUUGAAACUGGACAAUUUACAGAGAGCUGAAAUUAAAUUCAAUUAAAGGCUUUGAGGUUUCCUUGGCAUUUUCAAGUGUUUGUUUUUGAAGAUGCUUUUCUAUAUGUUGGAAAUUUGAUUUGAUUUAAAAUGGUCGUAGCAGAAACAAUGGCGGAGGGGGAGAGAGAGAGACAUUGGCACGUUGGGAGAGGACGCAGGUGCCACAAAGAACAGAAUGUCUAUCACUUUGCGUGGUCCGAGCACACCAAUUAUAUAUGUAGCAGUACCCAUAUUUGUAAAAUUUAAUUACAAAAUUGUGGAUUCCAAGCAUAUGAAUGAUAUUUGUAUAUACAUGAAUUAUUUUUUUUUCAAAAAAAUGUCGAAAGAAUUAAAUUUUUUUAUUUCAAUUUAAAAGUUUCACAUGCAAAUUUGAAUGAAAAAUAACGAAAUUUAUAAAAUAGAAGAUAAUUAUUUAGUUUAAUGCCCAAGAAAGCUCUGAAUAAGUAAAAUUCAAAGUACAUAAGUAAACAUAUAUAUAUAUAUAGUUACUUGUAUUGAUAGAAACAUAUAUACAUUAGAUUCAUAUGCUACAAACAAUAAUGUCUGUCGGCAUACACAUACAAUUUAUGUUGUGGAAAUCGUAUUUUAAAAUUUUUUUGAAUUUCUUUAUUAGAAAUUAGUACGCAGUAGGUUAGACUUGAGAUUGACUUGGGAGCUACCAAACAAGAAGCAUCCAAUGCAAUACAUGCUCCAAAAGAUGUGCACAUGGCCUUCAAUAAUUUCAAGAUAAGGAUGAGCAGGCAAUGGCCCCUUGUUGUCUGGUUGACUUUUGUUUGUGUCCAAUGAAUUGGCAUCUACUACAAGAGACACGGAAACCCAAAAAUCACAAAUAUAAAGUAGAAUCCAGGAUCACAGGGCCCGUUAUCAUCUCCCUUCAGACACCCUUUAGCCCACUUUCAAGACCUUAGAGAAGAUUUGUUUGUUUCUUUCACCCCUUCAUGGAACUUUCAUUUUUUGUUUUUUUGGGACUUUUUGUGAGUGUGAGAGAGAAAAAGGACGAAAUAGAAAAGAUAUAGAGCAAGGAGGGAGAGAGAGAGAGAGAGAACGAGGUCAGGCUGACAAGUCGUUUGGUGGGUACAGUCAGGGUCUGAAAAGCAAACAUGCCUUGGGUAAUAAUCAGAACACGUAGGUUUUCUUGUAUCUCUUGAUAACAUGUAAAUUACAAAUGUAAUAUCAGAUCUAAUGCAAUGUAUAGUAUAUAUAAUACUUUUAAAAAUAUUAAUAUAUUCAAAUUGUAUAAUUACUUGAUCACUAUUUUCAUAUUUGAAUUAUAUAAAGUACUAAAUUUUUUUAUAUUAAAAUAUUUAAAUUUAUUGAUCAAUUUCUCAAUAUAGUGACUUUGAUUAAUAACAUAACCAUUUUUAUAUUUCUUAACUUUAAUGUCCAAAAUGGUAUCAAUCUCAUUCAAAUCUUUCAUUUUAAAUACAGAGGUUAAGUAUUUUUUUGUUUCAUUUAUGCCGAUCAUGUUUUUGCUAAAUAUUAGUAUAUCAUCAACAAAAGGACAUAUUAUUACUCCUUAAUCUUUGGUAAAUUUUGAGUAAACACACUUAUCAGUCCUAUUAUGUUUAAAACCAUAAGAUAAUAUGGAUGAGUCAAAUUUCUCAUGCCAUUGUUUAGAAGCUUGCUUUAGCUCAUAAAGUGAUUUAACUAAUUUACACAUUUUUUUUCUCAUUUUCAAGAAGUAUAGAACCUUCUAAUUGUUCCAUAUAUACUUCCUCAUUUAAAUCACCAUCUAAAAAAGCUAUUUUAACAUCCAUUUGAUAUAUAUAUAUAUAUAUAUAUAUAUAUAUAUAACUUAUAGAUCGAAGCUAACGCUAUAAGUGUUCUAAUAGAUGUUAUUCUAGCUACUGGAACAUAGGUAUCAAAAUAGUUUAUGCCUUCCUUUUGUUUGAAACAUUUAAUAACUAAUCUUGCUUUAAAAGUUUGUACAGAACCAUCGGUAUUAUAUUUUCUUUUGAACACCCAUUUACAUCUAAUUGGUUUAGAACUUAAAAAUAAAUCAACUAAAACCCAUGUAUUAUCAGAUAUUAUUAAGUCCAUUUCAUCAUUUACAGCUUCUUUCCAAAAAGCUACAUCUUUUAAAGACAUUGCUUCACUGAAAGUUUUGGAGUCUUCAUCUACACUUAGUAGAAUUGGUCUUUUAUUUAUUAUUUUGGUUCUAUCUCCUUCAACUAGAAAAACAAAUUGAUUCUACAGAACCAUAAUCAGAAUCUAAAUGUUUCUCAUUUCUUUGAUUCCUUCUUGGCUCAAUUGAUUCGUUACUUUCUUUUCUUUUUUAACCAACUAUUAGAGCCAAUUUAAUUUUCUUUUCUUUUUCAAAAUUAAUAGAAUUAUAAAUAAAUUUAUUUUUAAAGAAAUCAACAUGUAUAGAUUCAACUAUAACAUUAGAAUUUAAAUCAAGUAAUCUAUAUGCUUUUGAAUUUUGUGUAUAACCGACAAAAAUACUUUUGAUGCACCUAGGUCCUAAUUUUGUCUUAUAUCCGUGACUUUUUAAUAACCUAUACACUCUGCACUUUAAAAUAAUCCAAAUUUGGUUUUCUGCCAUUAUUCCAUAAUUCAUAUAGUGUCAUAAGUAAUUUCUUUAAAGGAACUUAAUUACUUAUAUGGCAUGCUAUCAAAAGUGCUUCUUUUCAAAGAUUAAAAAGAGCCUUUGCAUUUAACAACAUACUAUUUACCAUAUCUACUAACGUUCUAUUUUUUCUUUCGACUAAUCCAUUAUGUUAUGGUGCAUAAGGAGCUGUUCUUUGAUGAAUUAUUUCAUUCUCUCAGCAAAAUAGAGAAAACAAAUCUGAAAAAUAUUCUCUUUCCCUAUCACUUCAAAGAAUUUUAAUCUUCUUUUCUUUUUUAUUUUCAACAACAGUUUUGAAUUCUUUGAAUUUGUCAAAUACUUCAUUUUUUGUUUUCAUUAAAUAAACAUGAGUGAAGUGAGAAUAAUUAUUAAUGAAUGUUAUAAAAUACCUUUUUCCUCCCCUUGUUAGUAAACCAUUUAGUUCACAAAUAUCAGAAUGUAUAAGUUCUAAUAAUUCUGAUUUUCUUUCAACUUUUGGAAAAGGUUUCUUAGUCAUUUUUGCCUCAACACAAAUUUCACAUUUUUCAAAGCUAUCUUUUUAACAUUAAAUAUAACCAUAUUUUGACAUAAAUUUUAAACAUUGAAAAUUUAAAUGACCUAGCCUAACAUGCCAUAAAUCAGAAGAAUGCUCAACAUAAUAAAUGUAAAUCUUAAAACCAUUUUUACAUAAUAAAUGUGCAAAUACAAGAUUUUUUCUAAUUUCAAGAAUAUGAAAUACAUUAAGAUAAGUUAAUUUUUGCCCUAAGGUAAAUUUUAACUCAACCAUUCCUUUGCCAAGCAACUUAGCAGGAUUAUAGUAUCUCAUUAGAAUUUCUUCUUAUCUCUUGAGUUCUUCAUAACUCUUGAACUGCCUUUUGUCAUUGCAAACAUGAAUAGUAACAUCAAAAUCUAACCAUCAUUCUGAAUAUUUUGUUGCGAUAGCCAUAUUUACUUCGAUAACCAUUCCAAUAUGCAUUUCAAUCACCAUUCCAAUAUGCAUUUCAAUCACCAUCGCAACAAAACUCUUUAACAUCACAUUCAACAAGGUUUACCUUGUUUCCAUAACAAAAUGCAACAAUCUUGUUAUCAAGAUUUUCAAAAUUUUUGAACUUGAACUCCUUGAUAAAAUGUGCUUUCUUUCCACAAUAAUAACACAUUUUAUCACUUUUAUAUUUCUUGGAUUUCUUGACUUUAUUUCUUUUUCAUUUUCCAGAACCCUUUGCUUUUUCACUAACGAGAUUUAUAUUUAAUCCAAGAAUAAGUGCAUCUCUAGCAUGAUUUUCUACCUUAAUAUGCAAACGAGUUUGAAACUCUUCAAUAGUAAAACUUUCUGGAAAGUGCAAAAUUUUCUUCCUAUAUCCAUUCCAAGAAGAUGAAAGUUUAGACAGAAUUACUCCCACUUGAAGUGAGUCAAGAAUUUUGAUUUGCAGUUCACUUAAUUUUGAAGCUAGAAUUCGUAACUCAUGUACUUGAUCCAUAAUUGGUUUAAUAUCUAUUAUGGUAAAUUCGAAGUAUCUUAAUACAAGAAAUUUAUAUGUACCUUUUUUCCUUUUUUUAUGUGUUUCCUCAAGUGUAGUGUAGAUUUCUUUUGUUGAAGUCUUAUGUUUGAAGAGAUCAUACAAUUGAUCAGUUAAAGAAUUGAAAACAUAUCCACGAAAUAUAAACUCGUCAUGUUUCCAUUUCUCCAUGUUAACAUCAAUAGUGGUUGCGAUAACAAUUGUUGUUACAAUGAUAUUUUCAAAAGAUGUUGCUUCUAUUGAUGUGAUUUCUUUUGGAUUUGAUAGUUGAUCUAUCCGAAGAACAUAACAAAUUUUCAAUGUGAUUAAUAAGAAUACCAUCUUAUCCCUCCAUCUAGUGAAAGUCGUUAUGUCAAAUCUAUCGAGUUUGAUCACUUACUAAUUUUGGAAGUGAAUCUUCACACUUUAAUCUAACUCAAUCUUCAUCACGAAAAAAUUAAGAAAAGUUUGAAAAGAAUACCUUAAGAUUGUUAGAAAAUUUGAGAAAAGAAGAAGGAAAAGAAUGACUUUGAGGACAUGGAUUGUCACUUUUCUUAAGGUAUUUUUUCAAUCUCCAAUAUACAACAAAAUCUUUAACAUACUUAUCAGAAUUAUACAAUUCACAGUGUAAAAACUUUGUUUAUAUAAUAAACCAUAGUAUAAGUUUUUCAAUAAAAAGAUUUGUUUCUUUCCCUAAUAUGACUCUUUAAAUAGUAUGAAAAGAUUUAUUUCUUUUCCUAAUUCAGCUUUUCAAAUAAUUAUUUCUUUUCAUAAUACAUUUAUUCAAUAAUUAUGUUUAAUAACUUUUCAAAAAUUAUAUUUAAUAAAAUAAUUAUUUAUACUUUUUUAAUCACAAUUUUUUAUUAAUAAGGCCAAUAUUAAUAAAUUAUCUAACAGUUAUUGUGCGGAAAGAUGAGGCCCUUGUCUGGUUUAGUUUUGUUGGUGUCCAAUGAAUUGUCAUCUACAACAAGAGAGACAGAAACCGAAAAAUCACAGAACAUAAAACAGAAUCCAGGAUCCCAUGACACAUUAUCAUCUCCCUUUGAGACACCCUUUAGCCUACUUUUAAGGCAUGGAGAAGAUUUGUUUGUUUCUUUCAUCCCUUCAUGGAACUUUCAUUGUUGUUUUCUUGGGAUUUUUGUGAGUGUGAGUGUGAGAGAGAGAAAGGAAGAAAUAGAAAAUAGAUAGAGCAAGGAGGGAGAGAGAGACAGAAAGAGUUGUUUGCCAGGUACUGUCAUGAAAAGCGAACGUGCCUUGGGUAAUAAUAAGAAUACAUAGGAAAAACGUUAACCCAAAAGGAUAAAAAGAUAAAGAAAGUAGACGUGCAAAAACUCAAGCAAGAAAAAGUAAAAAUACAAACAAACAAAAUUGCAAAGGACUUGACCUUUGUUUGUCUUUUUUUUUUUUUGAGUAGUAUCGGGGUAUCAUUAAGACCGGUGUGAAGAAAAAUCACCACCCUGAGAGAAGAUCAUAUGAGCAAAAGUCUAAAAGGCCAAACAGCGGUUUGACUGGUACAUCCGCUUAUUUGCUAUAUACCCGAAUCAAAACUCAUGCCCCUUUCAUGACUCAAACCAUCCGGUACACAAGGAAACCGACAUUCAGGGCCUAAUUUAACACUAACAUUACCAAAAAACACACCAGUUCCUUACCUUGCUAGUUUAUAAACUUGCUGAAUAGGCUUGGGAGAAAUGUAAGCUUCAGUGUCCGAGAUUGCUAUCUCUGGAAGCAGCUCCGGGGAAUUCACUCCUAUUACAACAGCCCUUGGGGCCUCAACAAUAUCAUGCUGUAUUGUUCUAUCUUACAGAUAUUAGUCGGUAUCCCCAGCUGGCUUCUUUGAAGAAACUAAAAACAUAUCACUAUCAGGACAGACGCUGGGAGAAAGGAUGGACUUCCCUGCCAUUACCAUUCAAGAGCCAGCAGCUAGGAUGGAUCCACAAGGCCCAGAUGAUAUUCUACUGCACCAUAUUGUUGCUCGCAUUGAGAAGAACAGGCAGCAGUACCGUCAGCAGAGGCAAGAUCCUGGAACUUACACAAUCUGCCCGUUUCCUGAUUUCCUUGUUGGCAUAGAUGAUAGAAUCCAAUCGCCAAAGUUAGCAUCAUUCGGCCCUCGUCACAGAGGCAAAGAUCAUCUCCUUCCCUUCGAAAAGCACAAGGAUGAUUUUCUUUCUAAAUUUCUUUCUCGGACAGAAAGUCUGGGAAGAGAUUCGCGCUUCUAUGCACAGAAACUGAUAGAGAUCAAGGACAACACAAAAACAUGCUAUUCUGCAAAGAUUGUUAUGCCUCCCGAUGAUGAGCUUGUUCACAUGAUGUUGCUCGACGGUUCCUUCAUGGUAGAGCUCUUCCGUGAAUAUGAAGAGGAGGGUAGACAAGUCACAUGGCCAUGGCAUGUCCAAACUCUGAUUGCAGAUCUCCUGAAACUGGAGAACCAGUUACCCUUUUUCCUUCUUGAGGUAUUGUUCAAUUGGUCCAACAUUGGUCAGGGUGCAUCAAUCCGCACCUUGCCCGAACUUGCCUUGAGAUUUUUGAACCAGGCCUUCUGUUGGCCAUCAGAUAUGGUCAACUCCCAAAUUCAACACCCCAAGCAUUUACUUGACUUAUUCCGCUUGAGUCUCCUUCCCUCUACCAAAACAGACCCACCACAGCAAAGCAAACACCAUCCUUUGGUGCAUUCAAUACAAAGUGUGAAGGAGCUCCGUAGUACCGGAAUCACUGUAAGAAAAAAUAUAGCAAAAAGCCUUUUGGAGAUAGACUUCCGGAAAUUUCAAAUCCCACCCUUAGCCCUUAAAAUCCCUCCAGUUGCCAUAGAUGAAUUCACUAACACCAUCCUGGUGAACUGUGUUGCUCUGGAGCAAUGUUUGCCAGAUCGGUCCAAACAUUUCACUGCGUAUGUAUGCUUCAUGAAUUGCCUCAUGAAGCAACCCGAAGAUGUUGGAUUUCUUCGUUCUGUGGACAUUAUCACACGCGUUUCGCAAGAUGACAAAUAUAUUAUAGACUUGCUGAAUAGUCUUGGGAGAUAUGUAAGCUUCAGUGUUCGAGAUUGCUAUCUCUGGAGGCAGCUCUGGGAUAUUCACUCCUAUUACAACAGCUCUUGGGCAUCAAUUAGGCGCAAUUUGUUUAGCUACAACAACAUCAUGCUGUAUUGUUCUAUCUUACAGGUAGCAAUCGGUAUCCUCAGCUGGCGUCUUUCAAGAAACUAAGCCGCUUUUUGACUCCCCAAGCACAAGGUAAGAGGAAAUACAUUGAUUCUCCUUUCUUUUGUUCCAGAGUUUGUACAUGAUUUUUGUUCUUCCAAUAUGGGCUUUAACUAUAUUAUUACAAGAUUCAAUUCCGUAAAAAAUCUGACUCAGAGUCGCAGGUCACCAGAACUGGAGUCCAGUGCGACAUCUUUGGGUCUGAAUUAAUAAAUCAAAGCUUGCAACCUUGGGAAGCUGAUUUCGCAGAGAUAGACUGCUUUGAAGUAGCAACAACAGUAGAAUUUAUGUUUGGGUCCAUCAGAAGGUAUGGAGUUGCGUCCUUGUGGUUAGAUUUGGGAGAAUGGGUUUGUGAGUCAACUCAGUAGAUAUUUAAUAGAGUUGGCAAUUCCAUUUCACAGCUCUGCUUUGCAAAACUUUGAAGUAAUUGAAACUAUAGGUUUCACUAUUUUUAAUGUUACUUAAAAAUGACCAAUAAUAAAAUGUUGUAGUACUUUUUAAAGUAUUUGAGUUAGAUAGGUAAAUGUCAUAUUUAAUGUUUUGUGGAAUUCUAAUUACAUUCUCGAAUCAUAUAUUAGAGAUUCCCCUUUCUAAAUCCUAUUAUAUGAUUUUAUAGAUUAAUACAUAGGAGGACCAAAUUGCAUGAAAUUUAUGGUUUGUUUUGGAAUGCCAACAAAAUAUAAAAUACGAAAUCUGUCAUUAAUAAUUUUGAUUAUGAUGAAUUUUUACUUUUAAUUACAACGGCGGGAACUGAGCCUAACACCAGACCAAUACCAGCCCAGAUGGACCAUUUCCGUGCACUAGCACCUAUGGCGUCCGUUAGGUGUAACGAUGAGAUUUGUAAUAAUGGACAUUGACGAAAAUGAGAGACGCUGAGAUUGAUAUUGAGCCCAGUCCGAUCGGACCCCACAACGAGGGCUCGAAAACUUUAUAUGAUCCAAUCUCCAACCGUUCUAUGAAAAACUCAUUUGUGUUUGUAACUUGACAUAUAUUAGGCAGUAAUUUGCUGAUAACAUUGAAUUUUUUAAAAAAAAAAAUAAUUCAAUCUAUAUAAUUAAUGUUCCAUUAUUAGAAAUAAGCAAAACAAACUGAGCAAUUAAACUUACAUCCAAACAUUUGACUCGUUAGUUGUUGUAUAAUCUUCCUAUUUUAAAAAAAAAUUAAAUCUCCUUUCCCUAAUUUCAAAAAAAAAAAAAAAAACAGAGCAACUAAAACUUGAUGAAUUAUUAUUGACGAAUGGCAAUUUUGUUAGGCAUUCAUGCUCAACUCAAUUUGAUGCCAACUUCACAUUCGCUUUGCGUGUAAUUUCAGUUUCGCGUUAGCAAGCAUCUGAUGAUAUGUUCAGAGGCAUUAAGCCUUCAAAAGAUAAGAUACUACCCAACGGUUAUGCUCUUUGACAAAGAUAAUGCUCCACAGAGAGCAGUCAGUCUUAUGCUACUCAUACAACUUUGGAUUUUCAUUAUUCCAGAUUUGCUUUAUGGGAAGCCCAACUCUUUUAUGGGACAAGCAAUCCAAAAAAAUAAAACUUUGGGUACCAUCAAAUUUAUACCUACUUUCUUAACCAAACUUGUAGCACACAGUGAAUUCGCAACAUCAAAUAGCAACACCAUAUACCUACUUUCUUAACUAUUUUUUUUAUGAAUGGACAAUGAUAUCAAAUUUAUAUUUGUACCUAAAUCACAUCAAAUUUUAACAAAACAAAUACUACCAAUAAUGACAAGAAUAGUAAAAUUACUUAAACGUUUAAAUUUUGAUAGACAUUUAUUCUGAAUAAUGACACUGCACUCCUCCUUAUUAAGUGCAAUAAUUUUAAACUCACUUAAUUUCUUCUUUUAAAAUAAAAUAUCUUUUAAGAAUUUAACAUAUCUGAAGGAAAAUCGAUUGAAACACACAGUGCACAGUAAUAUGAAUUUCUAGAGAGCUAAACCAAGCAACAAGCAAGAUGAGAAUAAGAAAAUUUUUAGAGCAGAAAAAACAAGCCAGCAUUUCAUUUUCAUUUUGUGUAUAUAUAGUGGCUGCUGCCUCGUGAUUGCAAGAUUCUCCUCAAGACUCGGAUCAAUGAUGAGCACAGAAAACAAGAGAAAAAACAGCUGAGCACAGAAAUCAAAGCUUUGAUUCUGGUGCCAACAACGGUCUUAACAGCUCUGGAAGAAACAAGAAGAAAAGAAAAAACAACCACGGGAAACGACACUCAGCUAAGUCGUGUGACUUAAGCUGUUAAUAACAAAACCAACAUAAACGACAUUAUAGGCAGCGUUUCAAUCAACAUAAAAAACCAAGCUUCAAACGAUGCCGUAUAGACACCCUUUCCUUUCUUCUUCAGCUCUGCUGACUGGCGCCUUUAUUUGAAUCUUUACUUGCUGGAAUCAUAAACUUCAACAGACCUCCUUGAUUCCGGUAGGAUAAACACCCAACUUGUCUCUAAGAAAUUCAAAUCGAUCAGCACUCAAGCCCUUGGUAAAGAUGUCUGCCACUUGAUCAUCAGUGUGACAGUAUUCAAGUUGAAUCUCACCUUCUCUAACAACAUCCCUCAAUGCAUGAAACUUCACCCUUACAUGCUUUGUUCUGCUGUGUUGGACUGGAUUUCUAGCAAUAGCCAUGGCAGACUGAUUAUCAACUCUUAUCAGAGUACCACUUUCCUAAGGAAAAUUCAAGUCUGCAAGAACCUUUCCCAGCCAUAAGGCUUGAUUAGCAACUGCAGCAGUGGCAAUGUAUUCUGCUUCAGCUGAUGAUUGAGCAACUACUUCUUGCUUCCUUGAACUCCAUGUAAAUACACCACUUCCAAAGGAAAAACAGUACCUUCCAGUACUUUUUGAAUCAUCAACCGAUCUAGCCCAGUCACUAUCAGUGAAUCCUUGCAGAUCAUAGCUUUCAGACUUCAAAAACCUUAAACCAUAACUUGCAGUACCUUUCACAUACCUCAAGAUACGUUUGGCUAUAGUGAAGUGAUGAAUUGAUGGAGCUUGCAUGAAUCUGGAUAAGAAGCUUGUAGCAAACAUCACAUCUGGUCUAGUAGCAGCUAGGUAUAGCAAGGAGCCAAUGAUACUUCUGUAAAGAGUUUCAUUUGCCUUUUUUGCACCAUCAUCACCAAAGGCUGGUGAUACAGAAUAAAAAAAAUCCUCGAAUCUUUCAAACAACGACACAGCCAAGUAAUUCCAACCCCCUUACGGUAGCGAUUUGCUUCCAUUAUUGUCUUGUAGAGGUAGGAAUCUUGAAU
This 35938-nucleotide long non-coding RNA is filed under the name Theobroma cacao (cacao). Its description in RNAcentral is "long non-coding RNA (TCAC_LNC004460)". The record is from RNAcentral. Lineage: Eukaryota; Viridiplantae; Streptophyta; Magnoliopsida; Malvales; Malvaceae.